AGCAGCCGCGGUAAUUCCAGCUCCAAUAGCGUAUAUUAAAGUUGUUGCAGUUAAAAAGCUCGUAGUUGAAUUUCGGGAUCAAGUCGUCGGUCGUGCUCAGGUACGUACUGGCGUCAUUGAUUUCUCCCUUCUGACGAACCAUGAUGUCAUUAAUUUGGUGUCAUGGGAAAUCAGGACUGUUACUUUGAAAAAUUAGAGUGUUUAAAGCAGGCUCACGCUUGAAUACAUUAGCAUGGAAUAAUGAAAUAGGACGUUCGAUCCUAUUUUGUGGUUUUUAGGAUCAACGUAAUGAUUAAUAGGGAUAGUUGGGGGCAUUAGUAUUCAAUUGUCAGAGGUGAAAUUCUUGGAUUUAUUGAAGACUAACUACUGCGAAAGCAUUUGCCUAAGGAUGUUUUCAUUAAUCAAGAACGAAAGUUAGGGGAUCGAAGACGAUCAGAUACCGUCGUAGUCUUAACCAUAAACUAUGCCGACUAGGGAUCGGAUGAUGUUAAUUUUAAUGA
RNAcentral lists this unclassified non-coding RNA (500 nucleotides) under uncultured Glomus. RNAcentral describes it as "SSU rRNA". It matches the Rfam family "Eukaryotic small subunit ribosomal RNA", at positions 569 to 1074 of the family's 1831-position model. The record is from RNAcentral. Lineage: Eukaryota; Fungi; Glomeromycota; Glomeromycetes; Glomerales; Glomeraceae.